UCCUACGGGAGGCAGCAGUGGGGAAUAUUGCGCAAUGGGGGAAACCCUGACGCAGCGAUACCGCGUGGGUGAAGAAGGUCUUCGGAUUGUAAAGCCCUUUCAGUGGGAACGAUGAUGACGGUACCCACAGAAGAAGCUCCGGCUAACUCCGUGCCAGCAGCCGCGGUAAUACGGAGGGGGCGAGCGUUGUUCGGAAUUACUGGGCGUAAAGGGCGCGUAGGCUGUUUUGCAAGUCAGGAGUGAAAUCCCCGGGCUUAACCCGGGAAUGGCUCUUGAAACUACAAGACUGGAGUCCGGCAGAGGGUGACGGAAUUCCCCGUGUAGAGGUGAAAUUCGUAGAUAUGGGGAGGAACACCAGAGGCGAAGGCGGUUGCCUGGACCGGUACUGACGCUGAGGCGCGAAAGCGUGGGGAGCAAACAGGAUUAGAUACCCUGGUAGUCCACGCUGUAAACGAUGAGUGCUARUUGUCGCGGGUAUCGACCCCUGCGGCAACGCAGCUAACGCGAUAAGCACUCCGCCUGGGGAGUACGG
This 532-nucleotide ribosomal RNA is filed under the name uncultured Magnetococcus sp. RNAcentral's name for it is "bacterial SSU rRNA". It matches the Rfam family "Bacterial small subunit ribosomal RNA", at positions 337 to 885 of the family's 1533-position model. Lineage: Bacteria; Pseudomonadati; Pseudomonadota; Magnetococcia; Magnetococcales; Magnetococcaceae. The record is from RNAcentral.